Molecule: unclassified non-coding RNA, 559 nt
Filed under: uncultured Bartonella sp.
Lineage: Bacteria; Pseudomonadati; Pseudomonadota; Alphaproteobacteria; Hyphomicrobiales; Bartonellaceae
Description: partial 16S-23S ribosomal RNA intergenic spacer
Source: RNAcentral
CCUGCUUGCAAAGCAGGUGCUCUCCCAGCUGAGCUACGGCCCCUAAAUCAGAAUAAAGCGUUUAAAACGAUCAAAAGAGGGAUUACAAAAUCUAUAUAACUCAAAGCGAUAUGAUUGAACCGAUAGUUUCAUAUAGGCAUUGACGUCUAUGAGCAUUUGGAAUUUAUAUCAACCAAAUGGACGCUGUAAAAAUCACUUUGCAAGGAAUUUUGACUCCUUAGUAUUUAGCAUUUGAACUGUUUUUUUGCCAUUAAUUUGCUUUAACUUUGGAUUACUCACACAAAAGCAAUAAGCCUGCCAAUUUUGAUAAGCUUUUUAGAAGCAAUCUUUUUAGAAGUACUUAUUUUUUAAAAGCACUUAUGAAAGUAAUGGAUAAACUGGUGGGCCUGGGAGGACUUGAACCUCCGACCUCACGCUUAUCAAGCGCGCGCUCUAACCAACUGAGCUACAAGCCCUCCGGGAUAAACCGGAAAACCUUCCCCGGCAUCCUCUUAUAAAACGCUUAAAUUUUAUCAAGGAAAGCGUUUUUCAAAGCCCACGGUGGACUUGUUUUGUCUAG